GACGAACGCUUUCUUCUUUCUUAACACAUGCAAGUCGAACGGAAAGGCCCUGCUUUUGUGGGGUGCUCGAGUGGCGAACGGGUGAGUAACACGUGAGUAACCUGCCCUUGACUUUGGGAUAACUUCAGGAAACUGGGGCUAAUACCGGAUAGGAGCUCCUGCUGCAUGGUGGGGGUUGGAAAGUUUCGGCGGUUGGGGAUGGACACGCGGCUUAUCAGCUUGUUGGUGGGGUAGUGGCUUACCAAGGCCUUGACGGGUAGCCGGCCUGAGAGGGUGACCGGCCACAUUGGGACUGAGAUACGGCCCAGACUCCUACGGGAGGCAGCAGUGGGGAAUAUUGCACAAUGGGCGGAAGCCUGAUGCAGCAACGCCGCGUGCGGGAUGACGGCCUUCGGGUUGUAAACCGCUUUCGCCUGUGACGAAGCGUGAGUGACGGUAAUGGGUAAAGAAGCACCGGCUAACUACGUG
Molecule: ribosomal RNA, 468 nt
Filed under: uncultured bacterium
Lineage: Bacteria
Description: partial 16S ribosomal RNA
Rfam family: Bacterial small subunit ribosomal RNA
Source: RNAcentral